RNAcentral lists this non-coding RNA (29 nucleotides) under Rattus norvegicus (Norway rat). Lineage: Eukaryota; Metazoa; Chordata; Mammalia; Rodentia; Muridae. The record is from RNAcentral.
UGGAUAGCAUUCUGAGAAGGAAUAGGGAA